GACUCUUAUUAGCCGGUGCGUCUCGCGGUGUUCUUCAUUGAGUGCCACGAGAGCCUGGCAUGUUUACUUGAAAAAAUUAGAGUGCUCAAAGCAGGCGCUUGCGCCUGAAUAGUGUUGCAUGGAAUAAUGGAAUAGGACCCUCGGUUCUAUUUUGUUGGUUUUCGGAACUUGAGGUAAUGAUUAAGAGGGACGGUCGGGGGCAUUCGUAUUUCGGUGUUAGAGGUGAAAUUCUUGGAUCGCUGAAAGACGGACAAAUGCGAAAGCAUCUGCCAAGAACGUCUCCAUUAAUCAAGAACGAAAGUCAGAGGUUCGAAGACGAUCAGACACCGUCCUAGUUCUGACCAUAAACGAUGCCAACUAGCGAUCCGCAGUGGUUGCUAUAAACGGACUCUGCGAGCAGCUUCCGGGAAACCAAAGUGUUUGGGUUCCGGGGGAAGUAUGGUUGCAAAGCUGAAACUUAAAGGAAUUGACCGGAAGGCNCCACCAGGA
Molecule: ribosomal RNA, 489 nt
Filed under: uncultured eukaryote
Lineage: Eukaryota
Description: SSU rRNA
Rfam family: Eukaryotic small subunit ribosomal RNA
Source: RNAcentral